Molecule: long non-coding RNA, 246 nt
Filed under: Hordeum vulgare
Lineage: Eukaryota; Viridiplantae; Streptophyta; Magnoliopsida; Poales; Poaceae
Description: long non-coding RNA (HVUL_LNC011623)
Source: RNAcentral
UCAAAUAAUAUUCAUAGAUAAUCUAAUCAUAAAUCCACAAUUCAUAGGAUCUCGACAAACACACCACAAAAGAAAGUUACAUCGCAUAGAUCUCCAUGAAGAUCAUGGAGAACUUUGCAUUGAAGAUCCAAGAGUGAGAAGAAGCCAUCUAGCUACUAGCUAUGGACCCGAAGGUCUGUGGUGAACUACUCACGCAUCAUCGAAGAGGCAAUGGUGUUGAUGAAGAAGCCCUCCGUGUACGAAUCC